UUUUUAUUAUUAAUAAUAAUAAAUAAGUUCUGCUCAAUGAUUAUUUAAAUAGCUGCAGUAAUUUAACUGUACUAAGGUAGCAUAAUCAAUUGUUUUUUAAAUGGAAACUAGAAUGAAUGAAUUGAUGAAAUAUAUACUUUAUUUGAAUUAUUUAUUGAAUUUAAUAUUAUAGUUAAAAAGCUUUAAUUAUUUUAUAAGACGAGAAGACCCUAUAGAAUUUUAUAUAAUAAUUUUAUAAAAUUUUAAUAUAAAUAAUAAAAUUAUAUAUUUAUUUGGGAGGAAUAUUAAAAUUAAUAACUUUAAUUAAUUGAUUACAUAAAUUUAUGAUAUAAAUAGAUUUUAUUAAAAUAUAAGAUUAAAUUACCUUAGGGAUAACAGCGUAAUAUUUUUUUAUAGUUCAAAUUGAAAAAAGUGUUU
RNAcentral lists this ribosomal RNA (417 nucleotides) under Trachepyris sp. RNAcentral's name for it is "partial large subunit ribosomal RNA". Lineage: Eukaryota; Metazoa; Arthropoda; Insecta; Hymenoptera; Bethylidae. The record is from RNAcentral.